Haemorhous mexicanus (house finch) is the source of this 672-nucleotide long non-coding RNA. RefSeq lists it as uncharacterized. The record is from RefSeq and is a predicted model, not a curated record. Lineage: Eukaryota; Metazoa; Chordata; Aves; Passeriformes; Fringillidae. The transcript has 3 exons.
CCUCGGGGUGGUGCCAAAAAUCCCCCAAAAUCCCCCCAAAUCCAAAUCCCCGUUCUGCGGCCAUUCCUCCUCCGCGGCUGCACGGGCAGAGCCAAGCGCCGGGGCCCAGCCGGGGCUGCGAUGCCUCCCUGGCUGCCCGGCCGGCGCCAAGGAAAGGGCAGGCUUGUCCCAGCGCUCCCUGCCCGGCAGCUCGGCUCCAGCCGGGGGGAUCCCCCUCAGGCAUCGCGGGUACCUCCGGCAGCCAAGGAAGCGAGACAGCAGCCCCUUGGCAUAGAUGACAGCACCAGGAAAGUAUGACUUGGUGACCAGGACACUCCCCUAUGCCAUUGGUCCUCAUCUCCUGAGCCUGCCUGCUGAUUCUUCCUCAGGAGGCGAUUUGAGCCUUCUUUACUUGUGUGAGCAAGAAAAUGGGCAGGCACCACCAAGUGUGAUCACAAUGUGGGAGGUGAAGAAUAGCUGGUGUUUUACUGCAGGUUCCAGAGAAAAAUGCAAUUGUGACAAGCUCUGUUUUCAGCAGUGAUCAAGAAAUAAAAGCUCAAGAGCAGAACCCCCUUGGACAAUGCUGCUCUUUGCAGCAUUGUCCAAGCAAUACCAGCCAUUGUGGGGAGGGAGAAGAGGGAAAAGAAAAAUGCCAUGCCUUUAUAAAUUAAAAAGCUUUUUUUCUCAAGGCUA